UGGUGAUCAUGGGCACAUGGAAACACUCGUUCCCUUCCCGAACACGACAGUUAAGCAUGUAGCCGCCGAUGGUAGUG
Molecule: ribosomal RNA, 77 nt
Filed under: Verrucomicrobiota bacterium
Lineage: Bacteria; Pseudomonadati; Verrucomicrobiota
Source: RNAcentral